CCCGCCAAGCCUCUCGACAAUACUCAAAUGUGCGGGU
RNAcentral lists this non-coding RNA (37 nucleotides) under Segatella copri DSM 18205. Its description in RNAcentral is "Prevotella copri DSM 18205 abiF RNA". It matches the Rfam family "abiF RNA". Lineage: Bacteria; Pseudomonadati; Bacteroidota; Bacteroidia; Bacteroidales; Prevotellaceae. The record is from Rfam by way of RNAcentral.